UUGUUCUCUAAAUAAGGACUUGUAUGAAUGGCCACACGAGGGCUUUACUGUCUCUUACUUCCAAUCCGUGAAAUUGACCUUCCCGUGAAGAGGCGGGAAUAUAACAAUAAGACGAGAAGACCCUAUGGAGCUUUAAUUAACCGACCCAAAGAGACCCCAUAUCCAACCGACAGGAACAACAAACCUCUAAUGGGUCGACAAUUUAGGUUGGGGUGACCUCGGAGAAUAAAAUAACCUCCGAGUGAUUUAAAUCAAGACUAACCAGUCAAAAGUAUUACAUCACUUAUUGAUCCAAAAACUUGAUCAACGGAACAAGUUACCCUAGGGAUAACAGCGCAAUCCUAUUUCAGAGUCCAUAUCGACAAUAGGGUUUACGAC
RNAcentral lists this ribosomal RNA (378 nucleotides) under Lynx pardinus (Iberian lynx). RNAcentral describes it as "partial 16S ribosomal RNA". It matches the Rfam family "Bacterial large subunit ribosomal RNA", at positions 1969 to 2524 of the family's 2925-position model. The record is from RNAcentral. Lineage: Eukaryota; Metazoa; Chordata; Mammalia; Carnivora; Felidae.